This 587-nucleotide ribosomal RNA is filed under the name uncultured bacterium. RNAcentral's name for it is "partial 16S ribosomal RNA". It matches the Rfam family "Bacterial small subunit ribosomal RNA", at positions 355 to 1375 of the family's 1533-position model. The record is from RNAcentral.
UGGGGAAUUUUGGACAAUGGGCGCAAGCCUGAUCCAGCAAUGCCGCGUGCAGGAUGAAGGCCUUCGGGUUGUAAACUGCUUUUGUACGGAACGAAAAGGCUCUGGCUAAUACCUGGGGCACAUGACGGUACCGUAAGAAUAAGCACCGGCUAACUACGUGCCAGCAGCCGCGGUAAUACGUAGGGUGCGAGCGUUAAUCGGAAUUACUGGGCGUAAAGCGUGCGCAGGCGGUUUUGUAAGACAGAGGUGAAAUCCCCGGGCUCAACCUGGGAACUGCCUUUGUGACUGCAAGGCUGGAGUGCGGCAGAGGGGGAUGGAAUUCCGCGUGUAGCAGUGAAAUGCGUAGAUAUGCGGAGGAACACCGAUGGCGAAGGCAAUCCCCUGGGCCUGCACUGACGCUCAUGCACGAAAGCGUGGGGAGCAAACAGGAUUAGAUACCCCUGGUAGUCCACGCCCUAAACGAUGUCAACUGGUUGUUGGGUCUUAAUUGACUCAGUAACGAAGCUAACGCGUGAAGUUGGACCGCCUGGGGAGUACGGCCGCAAGGUUGAAACUCAAAUGAAUUGACGGGGUCAUAGCUGUUUCCU